AGCGCCCGCGGCCCGGCAGCGCCAGGGAUCAGGGCAGGAACGUGACCCCGGCGAGGCCGCCGCGCCGCCGCUUCCUCCCUGCCGCCGAGCCUGAUCCCGAGCCCGAUCCCCGCGGCCGUCGCUCCCCGAUCCCUGCGGCCGUCGCUCCCCGAUCCCUGCGGCCGUCGCUCCCCGAUCCCUGCGGCCGUUUGUCCCCGAUCCCUGCGGCCGUUUGUCCCCGAUCCCUGCGGCCGUCGCUCCCCGAUCCCUGCGGCCGUCGCUCCCCGAUCCCUGCGGCCGUCGCUCCCCGAUCCCUGGAGCCGUCUGUCCCCGAUCCCUGCGGCCGUUUGCUCCCUGAUCCCUGUGACUGUUUGCUCCCCAAUCCCUGCGGCUGUCGCUCCCCGAUCCCUGGAGCCGUCGCUCCCUGAUCCCUGCGACCGUUUGCUCCCCAAUCCCUGUGGCUGUUGAUUCCCCGAUCCCUGUGGCCGUUUGUCCCUGAUCCCCGUGGCCAUUUGCCCCCGAUCCCUGCGGCCGUCGCUCCCCGAUCCCUGGAGCCGUCUGUCCCUGAUCCCUGCGGCCAUUUGCCCCCUGAUCCCUGCAGCUGUUGCUCCCGAUCCCUGUGGCCAUUUGUCCCCGAUCCCUGUGGCCGUUUGUCCCCAAUCCCUGCAGCCUUUUGCCCCUGAUCCCUGCGGCCGUCACUCCCCGAUCCCUGCGGCCAUUUGCCCCCCGAUCCCUGUGGCUGUUGAUUCCCCGAUCCCUGUGGCUGUCGCUCCCCGAUCCCUGCGGCCGUCGCUCCCCGAUCCCUGCGGCUGUCGAUCCCAAUCCCUGCGGCCGUUUGCCCCCGAUCCCUGCGGCCGUCGCUCCCCGAUCCCUGCGGCCGUCGCUCCCCGAUCCCUGCGGCUGUCGAUCCCAAUCCCUGCGGCCGUUUGCCCCCGAUCCCUGUGGCCGUCG
This 930-nucleotide long non-coding RNA is filed under the name Apteryx rowi (Okarito brown kiwi). Its description in RNAcentral is "lncRNA (ENSARWG00000008711.1)". The record is from RNAcentral. Lineage: Eukaryota; Metazoa; Chordata; Aves; Apterygiformes; Apterygidae.